GGACAAGCGUAUAACAGGGUAGUUUCAAAUUCAUUCCUCAAGUCCCUGAUCUUGAGACAGAUCUGGCCAAAAUUUUAUUUCCAGAAGGCCACGAUGACAUGAAACUUCUGGCAAGCUUAGAAGCAAAGCAUGAGAUAAUUUAACCUUUAAUUUGCAAUCCCGAAAUCAUCACAGCUAAAAUUGAUAUACAGGCAAACAGAAUCCCUAAUCUAACUGCACUCUCUGAGAUUUCAACACAUAUAUCUCUCAUAGCAAGCUCUUGAACACAGAUUCUUGCAGCAGUAUCUAUAAUCUCUGCUGCAAUGUACCUACACUUGUCUAACCCAACACGAGUUACAUAAUUUGUGUAGAAUCAAGAAUAUGAAUGCAAAAAGUGACCCACAUUUCUUCCCAGGGCGAAACAGCACAACAAAUGAGAAACAUUUUCCCACAUAUUUUAAACAUUUUAACAGAGCUCAUUUUCACUGUCUCUGCAAACACAACUCUCUAAAAAUUUGAUUUUGCAGAAGAGUUCCCUGGAUUCUGGCUAACCUGCAUGAUUGUUUGGUAAAAGUCCUGUAUGUUGAUGAUCUUUCCCAAGGGACAAUCCCAAAAUCAUCAUUGAACUCUUCCAUUCCUUCGACAAACAAUUGCCAGACCAAUGCACCUGCACCAGCUCGUUUUCUCUUUGCGGAUUUAUAGAUAAUGUCUAAAACAGUUUUGUAAAACUGCUCACGUUGAGAAUGCUGGAAGUCAUUGGUCAGAUUAGAGAAUCCAUAUUCAGUGAAAAAGACCGGCUUUCUUAGAUCAUAAUGAGCAUCUUCAAUGUGAGAAAGCAUCCACUUGGACACAAAUGUCAGCUUCUCUUCAAACGUUCGAUCAUGAAUCCUAGUAAAAAAUUAUCAAUUUCAUAUAGGUAAGCAGUAUGAGCAACAAAAGACUCAACACACAUUGAGCAAUAUAAACAAAAUUCAACAGCAUAUACAGCCACAAAGAUGAUUAAAAAAAAUAAAGGAAAUUUGCAACAGCAGAUGAUAAAAACCAAACACCCAAAAAGAAACAUUUGUGGCAAUUUUAAAUUUCGUGUAGGGUUAAGGGAAAUGCAAUGUUACCAAUGAUCAGGGUAUAUAUGAACAGAGGCAAAAUCAAUGUCUGGGACCUUGGAGUUGCGAAUAAAAUCAGUUCCAAAGGUUGACGCCCAAUCUUCUGGGUUCACAGUUAACCUCUUUGGGUUUUUAGGACCAUAAAAUCCUUCCAGGCCCACUGUCAGUAGAUGGUUCUUGUCAAUAGAUUUCACAAAAGCUGACAUUUCUUCCAUCCAGUCCUACAAUUCCAUGUUACGAAGUCAAUGUACGCAAAAAUAUCAAUCAAUUAAUGGGGAGAGGGGAAUAAAGAACCUCUCUCCCUCUUCCUCUUCCUCCCUGUCUUGUCUCUUCUUCUCUCUGCCCUCUAAAUGCACAUACAAGCACAUGCAUGCAUAAACUCUAAAGAAAUUCAUUUCUAACUCAAACUAGUUCAAGCAAGGAUCUCGAAACCUUUGGCUUGCAAAAUUAAUUCAGCAAAGAAGCCAAAAAAAAAGUAGCUUUAUUUUUUUUUCCCUCAAAAUUCCAUAGAAAUUAAUAACAUUUUGUCAAGAAAAUAUGCACAUAACCAAUGAAAGGGAGUUCAAAACACAUUUACUAGUCAUCUAAGCAAACCUUUCCAUGUGAAGUUUGCACACACAAAGAAAAAGUUAGAGCCAAAAUUGCCCACAAUAAUAUCAGUUUUCAAAUAAGAUUAUACAAGUUCUUCAACCUAAUUUAGGUCAGAAUGGUAUAAACUCUCUGGAAAAGUUACUAUUUCAUUAGAAGAUCUAUUGUUAAUCAGAUGGCUCAAGUCCUUCCAUACUUGAUUCUCAGAAGAUUAUAAUAGUGUAAGGAGUUCACAACUUACUUGAAGAGUGUCACCUGAAGAAUCAGACAUGCAACGAGGUUCAUUCAUCAAUUCCCAUCCGAAGAUGAUGGGAUCAUUCCUAUAUUCAAUCCCUGUGAUGGUGUUUUUUCUAGUCAACAAAGUCUGUAACGAGGACUUGCAUUAGAAUUGAUCAGAUGACUUCAAAGCCAAAGAUAUUACAGAAGUUUAGGUUCAUAUAUUUCACAAAUAACUCAAAAUGCUUUACAAAAUGAAUGAGAAGGAAAUUACUUAUCUAAAGGAAUAUUUGUUUACAACUAAUAUCAACCAUAUUGCUCGAAUGGGGGCAUGGACUUGGACUAUGUAUUGAUGCAAAUCUAGAGUCAACAACAAUAAAAACAACUAAACUUUAAUCCCAAACUAGUUAGGUCAGCUGUGGAUUUUUUUUGUUUUUUUUUUGUUCAACUCUAUUUGAAACCAAUCUAGAGUCCAUGUAAGAAAAUUACAGAUAAACUUGUAUAUGAAGAAAGAAGAUCAGGGAAAUAAGUAAUUUUAAUGUCCUGCACAUCUGAUUUUUCCCAAGCACAAACAGCCCAUACCACAUGAGUUAGAAACUAAAAUCCUGUAUCCGUUUCGUAAUCAUCAGGAAUUCAAAAUGCCAACGAUCAUGAUUAAAUAUGAAAAUUCAAUAAAAAAAAAUCCACCUUGGAGAACACGAGGGAAAGGAAAGCAAAAUAAUUAAUGAGUAAACAAAUGAACCUAUUAUAAUAAUUUAACCAUGCCUUCUGUGAUUCUCAUACUUUUCUACAAACCAUAACUUUGUCGAAGUCCAUGUUUGAUAGCUCGGGGUCCUUCUCCCUUUUCAGAUUGUAGGGGAGUGCUCUGUGGCAAUAAUACAUUCAUGGUAGACACAGCUUACAGGUACUUGGUGAAUAUGGCUUAUUUCAGCAACAGAGAGAAAUCCAAAGGCUCCCAAUUAUGGCAUCUAGUUUCUUUUAGUUUUGGGGCUUUCUGAAUUUGAAGAGUCUAGUAGUCACAGACUACCUUUAUCUGUGCCUUGUGAUGCAUGAGGACAAAAUUAUGUUUCAUCAAAACUGGAAAGAGAGCCCUUGUCGUUCCAAUGAUAUUUUAGGCAAAAUUUCUAUUAUUGAACAAAAGAACUCCAGUGCAGUCCUAAUUUGGCUUUAUAACUAUUUAUUAACAAAGUAACAUCUAAUAAAUUGCUUACAGAAAGCUAGAUGUCCAUUUACCUUAACAUAGUUCUUGAAAUAUCUUUUGAUGGUUGGAUCAAAGAAGAAAGAAUCAUUCGAAGAGCUCAAACCAAUGCCUUCUUCCCAUGCCCACUUAACAUACUGUGUUUUCCCACCAUAUGGCUUUAAGUUAUUAACUAAACAAAGAAGCAGCCUGAUUCCAUGUUGUCUUGCUUCUGCAAUGACAUAAUCCAAGGCCUUGAAGACCCGCUCAUCGAAUCGACCUGGGGAAACCUGGAGAGCAUUGUAGCCACCAUCAUUGAAGGCCCAUGUUCGACAAACAGUGAGACCCAUCCUAGCACCAGCUUCCAGCAUUGCACUAACCCUGGGUUUCCUAUCAUCCUCCGCAGAAUGGUCCAUCAACCAAUAAGAAUUCCAUCCAUUAAUGUAAAAGGGCCUACCAUCCACCAUAAACUGGGUUCCAUUUCUGGUCACAAAAGCUAACUCUGGUUCUUGAUGAUAAGUAAGCAUCAAGUCACCAAAACACAUGUAAAUGAAUGCCACACAGGAGGCAAAACCGAGAAUUGGGUAAAAUAGCCCAUUUCCAGCCAUCAUUUUUCUUAUAUAUCGUGUAUAGGAUCUGAAAAAUGGUAAAACACCAAAAUUGAACAAAAUGCAAUGAAAUUCUUGGAUAUCCUUAUUGGCUAUAUUUCAAGAUACAACCCCAAAUACAGCCACCCAGACAAAAUUUUAGAAGUAACUUAAAAGCCGAAAUGCAUGAUAUAGGAAAUGUUUAAGGAUACCCAGAUCCCUUCUUGAAAAGGAUACCCCAAAAUGACUUGAAAGCUCAUAAAAUUCAAAUACAAGAGCCCUCAAUGAAGCUCAGACCACAUCAAACUAAAAAGAGAAAGAGGGGUUUGCAUGUUGCCGUCCUGUGCUUAAGAUUUUGGGAUUUAUAGAGGAGAAGUGAAAGACGCAGGCCCCUACUCCCUAGGCAGGAAGAUUCAAAUGCAUAUGAAGACCAAGAAAUAAAGAAAGGACACCUAACAGGUCACCACCAAGAAGACUGAAGAACAGAAGAAUGACGGUAGUGGGGGUGGUUGUAAGGUGGAAUGUUGGCAUCAGCCUGAUAGGUAAACAGAUCUAAAGCAUCUGAUUUCCCUCAGUUUCCUUCAAUUUUAAUAUUAUUCUACAGGACAAGUUUCCAAUCGCAUUCAACGCCCAUGGCCCCAUGUCUGAUUGCGCUAUCUCUCAAUUUUCUGUACCAAAUUUAGUUUGCUAACAAAAAAGAAAUAGAAAAAAAAUGAAAUAAAGAAUGAGAAAAUCUCAGACCUCAUGUGCUCAUGUGUGUUCUUGAUUCGAUUGUACACAAGCAUUUGCAGCUUUUAAAGCUUUUUUUUUAAUUUGAUAUAUGAAGUGCAUAGCAUUCUUAAAUAUAGAGAGAGAUUAUAAUCUAAAGAACUGGUAGAUCUUAGAAGAUGGAAC
Molecule: unclassified non-coding RNA, 4544 nt
Filed under: Hevea brasiliensis (rubber tree)
Lineage: Eukaryota; Viridiplantae; Streptophyta; Magnoliopsida; Malpighiales; Euphorbiaceae
Source: RNAcentral